Non-coding RNA from Octopus bimaculoides (California two-spot octopus), 106 nucleotides. NCBI's taxonomy places the organism in Eukaryota, Metazoa, Mollusca, Cephalopoda, Octopoda, Octopodidae. The record is from Rfam.
GUAUUGCUUCGGCAAUACGUGUAAUAAAAUUGUAACGAUACACAGAAGAUUAGCAUGGCCCCUGCCUAAGGAUGACAUGCAAAUUCGUGAAGCGUUCCAUAUUUUC